This 605-nucleotide ribosomal RNA is filed under the name Melampsora pruinosae. Its description in RNAcentral is "eukaryotic LSU rRNA". It matches the Rfam family "Eukaryotic large subunit ribosomal RNA", at positions 61 to 649 of the family's 3401-position model. Lineage: Eukaryota; Fungi; Basidiomycota; Pucciniomycetes; Pucciniales; Melampsoraceae. The record is from RNAcentral.
GAAAAUAACUAUGAUUCCCUUAGUAACGGCGAGUGAACAGGGAGAAGCCCAAAUUUGUAAUCUGGCACUUUUUACAAGUGUCCGAGUUGUAAUUUGUAGAACUGUUAUCCGUCCUGGACCAUGUACAAGUCUGUUGAAAAGCAGCAUCAUUGAAGGUGAAAAUCCUGUAGAUGAUAUGGACUACCAGUACUUUUGUGAUACGGUUUCUAAGAGUCGAGUUGUUUGGGAAUGCAGCUCAAAGUGGGUGGUAAAUUCCAUCUAAGGCUAAAUAUAAGUGAGAGACCGAUAGCAAACAAGUACCGUGAGGGAAAGAUGAAAAGAACUUUGAAAAUAGAGUUAACAGUACGUGAAAUUGCUGAAAGGUAAACGUUUGAAGUUAGUUUUGUAUUCGUUAGAUCAGCUUCGCAAGGAGUGUAUUCUGAUGAUAAGCAAGUCAACAUCAGUCUAUGAGUGUCGGAGAAGGGUUUUGAGAAUGUAGCAAUUUAAUUGUGUUAUAGCUUGAGACUUGGAUACGAUGCUUUGGAUUGAGGAACGCGUAGUAAGCUUUGAGCGGAUUCGAAAGGAUCUCCUUACUAUGGAUGUUGGUGAAAUAACUUUAAGCGACC